This 76-nucleotide transfer RNA is filed under the name Bacillota bacterium. RNAcentral describes it as "tRNA-Met". It matches the Rfam family "tRNA". Rfam says of the family: Transfer RNA (tRNA) molecules are approximately 80 nucleotides in length. RNAcentral also lists the same sequence under 6 other names. Lineage: Bacteria; Bacillati; Bacillota. The record is from RNAcentral.
CGCGGAGUAGAGCAGUUGGUAGCUCGUCGGGCUCAUAACCCGGAGGUCAGAGGUUCAAGUCCUCUCUCCGCAACCA